Molecule: non-coding RNA, 1426 nt
Organism: Nelumbo nucifera (sacred lotus)
Lineage: Eukaryota; Viridiplantae; Streptophyta; Magnoliopsida; Proteales; Nelumbonaceae
Source: RefSeq, a predicted model, not a curated record
CUAUCUAUGGCUUACAAGGAUUGUGUUACAAUUUUGAACAGAAAGAGACCACGCCGAAGGAGGAACAGAAACAGAAGUAGAAGUAGAAGAUAAAGAACAAGAAGCCUUUGAUUGCCUUUAAUAAUAGAAAUAUCAUCUCCGUACAAGCCUAAAAACCCUUUUUUUUUUUUUUUGUUGCAAAAGAAUACAGGCAGAUAGAGGAAAGAAUCAAAGAUAGACCUCGAAGUCGAGUUCACCUAUGAAGGCACAGACUGUGAUGAAGAAGUGGGAGGAUGAGGAGUGGAGUAGAAUUUGGAGUUUUUAAUGAAGAAUAAGGCUUUCAACAAAGGAGGAAGAGGGAUGGAAGAGAGGUGGGGGUUUUGCUUGAGAUGUCUCAAAGGCUUCUUGACAUGAGGGUAUCUUUAUAACUAUUGACUUCUUCUCGUUCUCUCUCUCUCUCUCUCUCCUGUUGAUCGCUUUUCUAGCUCCUCGUCGUCCAUCUCCAUUUUCCUUUCUCCCCUUUCUUUCUAUACACUGCAAAAGGCUUCAAAUCAAUUGCCUCUCUCUCUCUCUCUCUCGUCUUUGAGCAAGUCUGGAUUAAUUAGUUGAACUUGAGCCAGUCUGUCGAAACAGGUUUAAGAAAUAGCAGUCAAAUUUCACACUACCAGUGGUUUAGUCGAUGCCGGUGGUUUGAAAUUUGGAUGAGAGAAAAAGACGACCAAGAGAGGAGAGAGACGGAGAGGGCUAGAAGAGAAGAAAUGUGUAGAGGAAGAGGCGUGGGGAAAAACCCUACUCGGUUGGUGUGAAAUUCGUACAAGCUUAAGGGCAUCAUUACCAACUUAAGGAAGGAUUUCUCCAACAAAGACCAGGAAAUACAAUAGAAGAAGUUGGAGAGAGCUACUUCGAUUAGCUUAUCAACAGAAGCUUAAUUCAAAUUGUAGAAACAACCAGUGAUGGGAGAGCCAAAGUUGCAGAAUCCAUGACCUUCGGUACGAAUUUAUUCUUGCAGAGUCAAGGGACCAAAAUAUUUCAGCAACAUUUGAUGUUGAUGGUAAUGUUAUAAUGAACAAACCAGAAGAUCAGACGCCUAUCAAUCCAUAGGAGUUAUUGUGGAAAAGUAGCAAAAAGAGAGAACCUUGUGUACCAUUCUAUCUUCAUGUUCCAAGUAGCUACACUACCCAACGUAACUCAUUUACCAGAACACUCUUCUAUGGUUGCAGGCUUCUGAAGGCGUUGGAUUUGAGAGGUUCCGGUAUUGAGUUGCUUCCAGAUGAAUUUAUCAACCUGUUCCAUUUAAGGUAUUUAAAGUCUGAGGUAUACCAAAAUCUAGAUACUCCCUAACUCUAUUGAGAAGCUUAGCCUAGAGACGUGAUCUCAAACAUGCCUAUGUAUCUUGAUUAUCAAUUGGAAUACUAAAGCUUCAAAAUCUGAGACACAUUCUUGUUUA